RNAcentral lists this ribosomal RNA (468 nucleotides) under uncultured bacterium. RNAcentral's name for it is "SSU rRNA". It matches the Rfam family "Bacterial small subunit ribosomal RNA", at positions 26 to 518 of the family's 1533-position model. The record is from RNAcentral.
AGGACGAACGCUGGCGGCGUGCUUAACACAUGCAAGUCGAGCGGAAAGGCCCUUCGGGGUACUCGAGCGGCGAACGGGUGAGUAACACGUGAGCAACCUGCCCCUGGCUCUGGGAUAGCCUCCGGAAACGGGGAUUAAUACCGGACAUUCUCCUUCUUCCGCAUGGUUGAGGGUGGAAAGUUUUUUCGGCCGGGGAGGGGCUCGCGGCCUAUCAGCUUGUUGGCGGGGUAACGGCCCACCAAGGCGACGACGGGUAGCCGGCCUGAGAGGGCGACCGGCCACACUGGGACUGAGACACGGCCCAGACUCCUACGGGAGGCAGCAGUGGGGAAUAUUGCGCAAUGGGCGGAAGCCUGACGCAGCGACGCCGCGUGGGGGAUGAAGGCCUUCGGGUUGUAACCCCUUUCACCAGGAGCGAUCAAGACGGUACCUGGGAAGAGCGCCGGCUAACUACGUGCCAGCAGCCGC